Molecule: long non-coding RNA, 1526 nt
Organism: Columba livia (rock pigeon)
Lineage: Eukaryota; Metazoa; Chordata; Aves; Columbiformes; Columbidae
Exons: 2
Source: RefSeq, a predicted model, not a curated record
UAACCCCUGUCCCUGUUGAAGCUGCUCCAUUCAGCCUUUGCACAAGCCUCCCUUUUGCUGCUGAAUACCUGGAAGAACACCUUCUUCUUGCCCUCCACAUGAUUUGUCUGGUUCAAUGCCAUGUGGGCUUUGCCUUUCCUAACCCCAACCCUGCACACUCAGACAACCUGGCAAAUGAUGUCCCCAGAGCAAAGGGCAUCAAGAGGAAGACAGAAGAAAUCAUUGGCACAGACUGUCUACCGGCAGAUACAAUGGCCAGUGAUCAUUGAAACAUGCACAAAGAGAGGGAGGAGAGAAAAGCAAGUGGAACAUCCUUAACGAAGUGGAGACAAUGUGUGCUCUACAGACAUGUGCAUCACAGGCCAGAGCUGGGCCUCUUUCUGCAAAGGGAGUUGCAAACAAUUCACCACCCCAAGACAACAUCCCCCGCCAGCAAUGGACCCCUGCAGAACUUGGGGGUCAUCUUCUCCUGCACCGACAAGACACUGCCCAGGAUAUACUCGGACCGUAAUCCCACCACAUGAAAGGACUUGUGUGGUAGAAUAAGCACGUCAGAAAUGAGGAAGUUAAAUGGCAUCAUUGAUGAAAACUCAAAUGCAACCAGUUCAGUUAGGUAGGAUAUUUUGCUUUGGAGGUGAGCCUGCUGGAAAAUUACUGCCACGUGCAGUGACUGGGUGCCUGGGGCGGUGCAGGAGCAGUAUAAAAGCGGGUCCUUCUCCUCACUCUCUCAUCCACUCCUCUCGCCUCCACCUCUUUGGGAACAAGGUGAACUACCAGCCAGAAGACAUGUCCUGCUACAACCCCUGCCUGCCCUGCCAGUCCUCUGGCCCAACCCCGCUGGCCAACAGCUGCAAUGAGCCCUGUGUCAGGCAGUGCCAGGACUCCCAUGUUUACAUCCAGCCGUCCCCUGUGGUGGUGACCCUGCCCGGCCCCAUCCUCAGCUCCUUCCCGCAGAACACCGCCGUGGGAUCCUCCACCUCCGCUGCCGUUGGCAGCAUCCUCAGCUCUCAGGGAGUGCCCAUCAACUCCGGGGGCUUUGGUCUCUCUGGCUUGGGCAGCGGCAUCUGCGGCACAAGGAGGCGUUUCCCCUGCUAAAGCUGCUGCUGAUGGCUCUGGGGAAGGACCCCAGGGACACAGAAAAUGGUACCAGCCUGGGGACGUAGCAUCAGGUUGUUGGUUUCAGAGGGUCUGAGCAACCUCAGCACCCUUGGCAAAAGGACAGGACCAGCCUGGUCUCUCAGAAAGUACAGCCCAUGCUGCCUUUUUCCUCUUCCAGUGUCCCCUUUUCCUCUUGUGUCCUUGUUCUCUUGUGCUCCCCUGGACUGUGAGCCCCACUAAGCCAGCCUAGGGAGGACCUGCUGGCCCUGCUCCCUCUGUGGGACGGGCAGAUGGACACCUGCCUGGGUGUUUCUCGCAGCUGCAGGGAACAGACACCUUUGUGCACCUGGUACUCCUUGCUCCGGGAUCUCCACUCAGAGUGACUUGUUUUUCUUCUUUUUCCACCAUUAAAGUUCUGCUGCAUCCCA